Molecule: ribosomal RNA, 440 nt
Filed under: uncultured bacterium
Lineage: Bacteria
Description: partial 16S ribosomal RNA
Rfam family: Bacterial small subunit ribosomal RNA
Source: RNAcentral
CCUACGGGAGGCAGCAGUGGGGAAUAUUGCACAAUGGGGGAAACCCUGAUGCAGCGACGCCGCGUGAGUGAAGAAGUAAUUCGUUAUGUAAAGCUCUAUCAGCAGGGAAGAAAAUGACGGUACCUGAGUAAGAAGCCCCGGCUAACUACGUGCCAGCAGCCGCGGUAAUACGUAGGGGGCAAGCGUUAUCCGGAUUUACUGGGUGUAAAGGGAGCGUAGACGGCAGUGCAAGUCUGGAGUGAAAGGCGGGGGCUCAACCCCCGGACUGCUCUGGAAACUGUACGGCUGGAGGGCAGGAGAGGUAAGUGGAAUUCCUAGUGGAGCGGUGAAAUGCGUAGAUAUUAGGAGGAACACCAGUGGCGAAGGCGGUUUACUGGACUGUAACUGACGUUGAGGCUCGAAAGCGUGGGGAGCAAACAGGAUUAGAUACCCCAGUAGUC